GACGAACGCUGGCGGCGUGCUUAACACAUGCAAGUCGAGCGGUAAGGCCCCUUCGGGGGUACACGAGCGGCGAACGGGUGAGUAACACGUGAGCAAUCUGCCCAUCACAUCGGGAUAACUCCGGGAAACCGAAGCUAAUACCGAAUACGACCACCUCCGGCAUCGGAUGGUGGUGGAAAGUUCCGGCGGUGAUGGAUGAGCUCGCGGCCUAUCAGCUUGUUGGUGGGGUAACGGCCCACCAAGGCUUCGACGGGUAGCCGGCCUGAGAGGGUGACCGGCCACACUGGGACUGAGACACGGCCCAGACUCCUACGGGAGGCAGCAGUGGGGAAUAUUGGACAAUGGGCGAAAGCCUGAUCCAGCAACGCCGCGUGAGGGAUGACGGCCUUCGGAUUGUAAACCUCUUUCAGCAGGGACGAAGCGCAAGUGACGGUACCUGCAGAAGAAGCACCGGCCAACUACGUG
Molecule: ribosomal RNA, 465 nt
Filed under: uncultured bacterium
Lineage: Bacteria
Description: partial 16S ribosomal RNA
Rfam family: Bacterial small subunit ribosomal RNA
Source: RNAcentral